Molecule: ribosomal RNA, 391 nt
Filed under: uncultured bacterium
Lineage: Bacteria
Description: bacterial SSU rRNA
Rfam family: Bacterial small subunit ribosomal RNA
Source: RNAcentral
UUGAACGCUGGCGGAAUGCUUUACACAUGCAAGUCGAACGGCAGCACGGGGGCAACCCUGGUGGCGAGUGGCGAACGGGUGAGUAAUACAUCGGAACGUGCCCAGUCGUGGGGGAUAACGCAGCGAAAGCUGUGCUAAUACCGCAUACGAUCUAAGGAUGAAAGCGGGGGACCGUAAGGCCUCGCGCGAUUGGAGCGGCCGAUGGCAGAUUAGGUAGUUGGUGGGGUAAAGGCNCACCAAGCCGACGAUCUGUAGCUGGUCUGAGAGGACGACCAGCCACACUGGGACUGAGACACGGCCCAGACUCCUACGGGAGGCAGCAGUGGGGAAUUUUGGACAAUGGGCGCAAGCCUGAUCCAGCCAUUCCGCGUGCAGGAUGAAGGCCCUCGGG